Pecten maximus is the source of this 5719-nucleotide long non-coding RNA. RefSeq lists it as uncharacterized. Lineage: Eukaryota; Metazoa; Mollusca; Bivalvia; Pectinida; Pectinidae. The transcript has 2 exons. The record is from RefSeq and is a predicted model, not a curated record.
UCGUACCACCAUCUACAGUUACCCUGACUGUAGUACUAAAGUCGUACCACCAUCUACAGUUACUCUGACUGUAGUACUAAAGUCGUACCACCAUCUACAGUUACCCUGACUGUAGUACUAAAGUCGUACCACCAUCAACAGUUACUGUGACUGUAGUACUAAAGUCGUACCACCAUCUACAGUUACCCUGACUGUAGUACUGAAGUCGUACCACCAUCAACAGUUACCCUGACUGUAGUACUAAAGUCGUACCACCAUCAACAGUUACCCUGACUGUAGUACUAAAGUCGUACCAGUUACCCUGACUGUAGUACUAAAGUGGUACCACCAUCUACAGUUACUGUGACUGUAGUACUAAAGUCGUACCACCAUCUACAGUUACCCUGACUGUAGUACUAAAGUCGUACCACCAUCUACAGUUACUCUGACUGUAGUACUAAAGUCGUACCACCAUCAACAGUUACCCUGACUGUAGUACUAAAGUCGUACCACCAUCAACAGUUACUCUGACUGUAGUACUAAAGUCGUACCACCAUCAACAGUUACUCUGAUUGUAGUACUAAAGUGGUACCACCAUCUACAGUUACUCUGACUGUAGUACUAAAGUCGUACCACCAUCAACAGUUACCCUGACUGUACUACUAAAGUCGUACCACCAUCAACAGUUACCCUGACUGUAGUACUAAAGUGGUACCACCAUCAACAGUUACUCUGACUGUAGUACUAAAGUCGUACCACCAUCUACAGUUACUCUGACUGUAGUACUAAAGUCGUACCACCAUCAACAGUUACCCUGACUGUAGUACUAAAGUCGUACCACCAUCAACAGUUACCCUGACUGUAGUACUAAAGUCGUACCACCAUCAACAGUUACUCUGACUGUAGUACUAAAGUCGUACCACCAUCUACAGUUACUCUGACUGUAGUACUAAAGUCGUACCACCAUCUACAGUUACUCUGACUGUAGUACUAAAGUCGUACCACCAUCUACAGUAACACUGAUUGUAGGCCUAGUACUGAAGUAAAUGCUUACAAAACAUCAUUCUAGUGCAGUGUCUUUAAUUGAUCUUUCUAUGCAAGUAAAUCAAUCAUUGCCAUUAGUGAUCGAUGUCCCCAAUGAUGUUUGUGUGGCAGUCCACCAUCAAUCCAAUGUCAUCAUACAACCAGAACACAUCAGGAAUUGUAGGAAGACAAGGAGUAUUCCUGAACGAAGACGCUGCUCGAUUUGUUCUUAGAUGAUGGAAUCAGGUAAUUUACUUGAUUGGACAGAAUCUACACUUGUGACUUAACAGGGUAACAAGCCGUGCAAGUUUUGUCAAUUGAGUAAUACAUCAAGUCCACCAAGAAUAAAUGGAGCAGGUCUUGAAGGCUCAAAUAUGUUCGAUUGUGUCAUCUUAAUAUUGUUGCUAAGCAACAGGGAUAAAUAUACCAACACUAUUGCAAUACUGAAGAUAUACGAAGCUGGACAAGCAACAAAACUAGAAAUGGGGAAAAUCAACAGAACUUCAAAUAAAUUAAGGCUAAUAAAAAUGUAAUAAUUGAAAGCUAGAUCCAAGUUUUGAAAAUUUUCCUUAGAUCUGGUGUUGAACCCCAGGUAUCAAUAUACAAAUAUUUCAAGUCCACAAAUUUAUAGUAACAUAAAUGACAAUUCCCUACAGAGCUCAACAUAAGCCUGUUGAUCAAGUACCAGGUAAAAACUAGUAUAGACCCUUAUCUUUUAGCUUUAGGUAUGGUACUGUGAACAUCAUAUUUUUACAUUGGAACCAUAUUAUUUCCAAAAUAUCAAGCUGUUAAGGAUUGUGUUGUGACCAAGCAUCCUCUCAUCACAUGACUUCAAAAUGGUGAUCUCCGCCCAUGUCACAUGUUUAAUCGUCAAGGUUGACAUAUAUAUGACAGGUGUGGUAUACGUAGUCUUCAAAGUGGACAUAUAUAUGACAGCAUUAUAUGAACAUUACUGAAAGAUUUCCACAUAAGAAUGCCUGUUGUUUUCAUAGUUACAAAUAUACCAAACAAGUUUUGUUUCCAUUACAACAUAAGAUUUCUGAUUCUUUUGUUCACUGAUUAUGUUGGAAUCACAGGUUCAAAGAAGGAAGAGAUACCCCACUCUAGGAGGAAGUCGGUACUAACUAAAAAAUAGUUUAUUUACUUCAUAUUCUGAAGUGUAUCAGCCCAUAUGUUCCAUACAUUUCCUGGUGUAUUAAAGUAUAGUUAUUGUAUGAAGCCAAACAGAGUUGCUCCCCUUGUUUUAUCUACAAAAAUCUCUAAGGGAUGGAAUGAACAGCUGAAUUUGUACAAAAAUAUCUGCAAAUGUGUACCUGUAUGAUUUAUAAUAAAUCUAUAAUUUAAUUUGGUAUUGAUUCUGUCACCAUACCUACAGUACACAAAACAGUUACACCAGGUAAUUCUUGCAUUUUCAAUGAGUGUUAACCUUUUACUAUACAAAUCUGCCACUUACCAAUACUGCCUCUGAUGGUAGUUAUACAUUUAAGUAGCCUGUAAACAGUAGGAUUGCUAACCUAAUCUGUUUAAGAAAACAUGCCACAAAUUUGAGCAGUAACAAUGAUAACAGUACAUUACUAAAGCCUGUAUUCUUUUUGUGUUUAUGAACUUAAAGGGUCACAUCAGUACAAAUCAGUGUGUAGAAAAAAUACCAGAAAAACUAAACUUUUGAGUAUGUUUGAUGCUUUCAUAGUCUAUAUGGUGAUGAAGGUGUGUAUUACAACUAGAGAUUAAUAUAAGGCUACAGAGUUUAACUUUUACCCUGACAGUCAAUGUGAUAGGAAUGGCGAGAAUGACAGGACCAUGAGAUCAUCUAUCAUUUUUUAUAACAGUUCAUAUUUAUACCUUUUCGUCAUUCAUUGAUGGACACCUUCAAGACUAGUCAACGUAUCAAUGCAUUCCAAUAUUCUCAUCAAAACUGUCUCACCCAAUUUUUAAUUUCAAAAUUUCACACUCAACAUUAAUGGUACAGCUAGCUAGAUGGACCCAUUUAAGGUUUAUCAUGAUGCUCAAUAGAUUUCAAUAUUACAAUCUUCCUACAGAUUAUAUAAAACAAUGCUGUCUAUAUUGUGCAUUUUGUAUAUAUAAUGGUGUAGCUAUUAUGGUGUAUGUUAUCUUGUUAAUAUCAUCUAGGACAUAGGUUUUAAUCACAGUCAAAAAAUCAUACGAUGAAAUCAAAACAAUUCCUUUAGAUUUUUCUGUUGAACUAUAAAAUAUACAAAUCAAAACACAUGUAGAUGCUUUUUAAACAAUUCAUUGGUAAUUGUAACUGAUCACAAAGCUUACUGAUAUCUGUGUAACUGACUAAUAAAUGAUGCUACAAACCAAUGAAUGGGGAAACAUAAAACAAAUCGUCAUAAAAAUCAACAGAUUUAAUGCCAAUCACAAUUAUAAGGCAUAAAACCAUCUUGGCAAACAAAAAUCAGACACAAGCACUGGUUGUCACGGUUACAAUGAUGUCAUCUCUCUACUAUCACAAUUGUACUACAUAUGAAAGAGCUUGAAUCUGGAGUAAAUAUAUACAGACUGACAUAACUAUACAACUAUUACAAACGCCCUAUUGUGUACCAAAUGCAAGUGUUACCAAUCAGUGCCAGUCAGUGUUUAACAAUAGCACUGUAGCAGUAACUCAUAUACCGGUAAUUGUUCAAGUGAGGAAAAGACAAAUAUCAUUUAAAACUACCGUAAUUAAUAUAUAGCAAGAAUAUGCUGUUGAUCGAAUCAGAACAAAAAAUAAAUAUUUGAAAUCGUUAUUCAAUCAAUGUUAAUCAAAUAUUCUGGUACAUGCAUCAUAUUUUGUUUCAUCUCUUUCACAUAAUACUGAGACUUGACACAUUAAAAAUCAAAAGAGGAGACAAUAUAGAACAAGACAUAGAAAAAAACACAGGUAUCUCGACCACAAAAUACAGGUAUCUGAGACACAAGAUACAGGUAUCAGUAUCACACAAAAUACAGGUAUCUGAGACACAAGAUACAGGUAUCAGUAUCACAAAAUACAGGUGUCCACACAGGUAUCUCGACCACAAAAUACAGGUACCUGGGACACGAGAUACAGGUAUCAGUAUCACAAAAUACAGGUAUCUGAGACACAAGAUACAGGUAUCAGUAUCACAAAAUACAGGUAUCUGAGACACAAGAUACAGGUAUCAGUAUCACAAAAUAAUGGUACCUGGGACACAAGAUACAGGUAUCAGUAUCACAAAAUACAGGUAUCAGUAUCACAAAGUACAGGUAUCAGUAUCACAAAAUACAGGUACAUGUACCUGGGACACGAGAUACAGGUAUCAUUAACACAAAAUUCAGGUACCUGGGACACAAGACACAUGUAUCAGUAUCGCAAAAUACAGGUACCAGUAUCACAAAAUACAGGUACAUGUACCUGGGACACAAAAUACAGGUACCUGGGACAUGAGAUACAUGUACAUGAACACAAACUACAGGUAUUUGGGAAACAAAAUACAGGUACAUGUAUCAGUAACACAAAAUACAGGUAUCUGAGAUGCUAGAAACAGGUAUCGAUAACACAAAAUACAGGUAUCUGAAACACAAAAUACAGGUAUCUGGAAUACAUGAUACUGGAAUUUGGAAUUUGAGAUACAGGUACAUUGGAAUACAGAUGACUGACUCUUCAAUAUUAUCACCAGUCCAAAUUAUAGAAUCAUAAUCAUAAUUAACAAAUCUAAAGAUUACGUCGUUGAAUUCUAGCAUAUUUGAAAAUUGCAAUGAAUUUAGGAACUUUAAUUUGAUAAAAUAAUACACAUGUCAGCAAGGCCCUCCACUAUCAUUACCACCCAAACUAGUGUUGGAAACUUUACCAAGACUGAACACUAUCCAUCUGGUAUGUUAAGUCUUAGUGUAAACAGAUGAUCGGGUACAUAAUGGCUUUACAAGUCUUGUGAAUACAGAAAAGAUUAUUUUCAGAAAAUCAAAAGAAGGAUGAACAUAUGGAUGUUGAUACAAAAUUUCAAGCUAUUGCACGAUUGGUUAAUUCUGUUUUGUUUGUGAGUGUAAAUAUCUAAAUAGAAUAAUUACCAUAAAAAUCUGGUCUAAUCAAAGCCUGCCAAAGAGUAAAGUAAGUUUUAAAAACAUUACACAGACCUCGUGGGAGUUUCUACUUCUAUCACAGUAUUUCAGCUUGAACAAAUUAAAACAGAACUUUGGUUGGUAAAUAUAAUUUUAUCUUAGCACUUUACAACAAUGUACCUUUAAACAUCUGUUGGUUCAAACACAGAAUGACAGCACUUACUGAACAAGUAUGUACGAACAUAUCUCUUCAUCGUAGAAUUAACUUCUUAUCACAUUAAAUUAUUACAGGACUUGUGUGUUAAGUGUUACAAUGACAUUUUCUUCCUUUACAGCCAAUCCUUGUAAAAAGGAAGCUUUAAACAUGACCGACACCUGGUGUGGCUCAAUCACAGGGUACAUACUAAUCUGGUCACACCAAAUCCAAAGCCAUUCAAAGUCCUAAUUUAAUUUUUUAGGGAACUUUUCAUGCAAAAUAAAAUACAUUUUACAACUAUUUUUGAAAAUCCAAUGGAUUCCAUUUUUCAUGCAUGAUUUCAAUGUUUGACAAUUUUACUGUGGACUAUUAAUUAGAGAAACAAAAUGCAAUUUACUUUCUAUCUGGUUGUGCACCUACUCAACAAAUAAUAAUUCUUAAAAAAAUUUGAUUGAAAGUAUAUUUUUCAAUAUUCACAUCUCUGCAUAAUUAAAUAUAUAA